UGGAGGAAAGUAGGGGAUCGAAAGACCUUGCGCUUUUGGAGCGGCCGAUGUCUGAUUAGCUAGUUGGUGGGGUAAUGGCCUACCAAGGCGACGAUCAGUAGUUGGUCUGAGAGGACGACCAGCCACACUGGGACUGAGACACGGCCCAGACUCCUACGGGAGGCAGCAGUGGGGAAUUUUGGACAAUGGGCGCAAGCCUGAUCCAGCAAUGCCGCGUGAGUGAAGAAGGCCUUCGGGUUGUAAAGCUCUUUCAGUCGAGAAGAAAAGGCUGCAGUGAAUAACUGUAGUUUAUGACGGUAUCGACAGAAGAAGCACCGGCUAACUACGUGCCAGCAGCCGCGGUAAUACGUAGGGUGCGAGCGUUAAUCGGAAUUACUGGGCGUAAAGGGUGCGCAGGCGGUUUUGUAAGUCAGAUGUGAAAUCCCCGGGCUUAACCUGGGAAUUGCGUUUGAAACUACAAAGCUAGA
Molecule: ribosomal RNA, 467 nt
Filed under: uncultured bacterium
Lineage: Bacteria
Description: bacterial SSU rRNA
Rfam family: Bacterial small subunit ribosomal RNA
Source: RNAcentral